GGGUAAUAUCAAAAAGUGAGUCAAGUCAUUGUUUAUAGUGAAAAUAUGAGCGGACUAUUAUAUUGUGGCAAACACAGCAUUACAGUUGGAACUGAAAAACCUUUUACUGCAGCGGGCUAAAUCAGGGUCACACAGAGUGUUUCUUGGUAGUCUUAAACAAGUGUACUUUGAAACAAAAGUAUUCACCUCAAACACAUGGUUAUGGGCUUAAAAAAAGAAGACACCUGUACAAUGUCAGAUAUAGAGAUGAAAUGUAUUACAUUUUGAGUUUGCAUACAAAUAUUACACUUUAUACAUAUCACAGAAGACUGAAAUAUAACAAAACAGUUUGACAUAGAAACACCAGAUUAUCUGCAGCUUUUUUUUUUUUAAGUGUAUUAAUUAUGAAAUCAUGAAAAAUAUUAGUAACAUUCCACCCAUGAGGCCACUAAGUCAUUUGACUGCAGGAUACUUUGGCUGAAGGAAAUUGCUCAACAGAAUGAAACAAAACACUUGCAAACGGGUUUAAACCUUAACAAAAGUUUUGAACAAGCUAUAUUGCAGCAAUUACUAACAAAGACAAGUGGCUACCAUACCAAAAAUGACAGAAAUAGGCUAAGGUUAUAAGUAGGUCUGUUGUAAAAUAAAUAACAUAUCUUAAACUAAAGACGGAGCUCAAAAUUAAAAGACAGUUAACAUUUAAUUUAGCCAAUGAAAAUGUCUCAACAGAAUUAAACAAAACAGAUUUUGCAUAUUUAAAGAACUGUUUUCGAUUAAUAAAUAGGCUUACAAUAAUAACAAUGAUAUACAAUAAUUAUUAUUAUGAUAAAACUCUGAUGAUUAAACUAAAUGAUUAAACUACAUUUUAGUUCCAAAAUUGCAUCCUACCUGAAUAGGGAGUUGCACAGUAGUCUGCAUUCUUUUUAUCUUAGUCCACUACAAUAUUAAAACUCGUAUAAAAUUCCUCUUGUAGGCUUUUCAAUAUAGACAUCCUCUUUUUCAUCUAACUUUUGGUUGACUUGAAAAAGGCCUCCAUCUUUGCAAGUAUCUGUAGCCUAGGCCAAGCUCCUCUGUUCCUCUCUCUCUCCCUCUCCUCAGCAGCAGGCGCAUGUCUGAGCAAGGCGAGAGAGAUUGGUACUGAAGCGCCAAUUCGGGGUGUAGGCUAUGAUAGACAGCCUCUCCUGGACAAUUUGUCCUGCUACAAUUUUAUUUAUCUGCUUUAAUUUAAAAAAAUCUCAGCCAAAUGCAGGCAAUUACCAGCUAAGGGAACCCAUGGAGCAUUUUCCCAUCAGAGGGUGAUUUGAAAAGUCAUAGUGUUCCAUCAAAUGUACUUGUUGAAGAUAAAAGUAUGUGUGUAAAUAUGUAGUGCACAUGAAAAUUCCCAUGUAUCGAAUAAAUGUACCGGGUUUCCAUCACAUUUUCAAGUCUUACUUAUGGUUUUGUCACAAAACAUGUUGCGUAGCGAAUGUGCCCACUCUGGUAUUGGCGGGUGCGCUCCAGUUCUACUACAUGAUGAGAUUAUUAUGGACAGAAGUGCCAGAUUAUUUUCUUUCUUUUUUCAAAUGGGAGCCAAGCAUUGAUCACCAUGUCACCAAAACAAGAUCCUCGAUAUUUAUUGAAAGCAGCAUCAACUUCAUCACUGUGCAGUUUCACCACCCUGUGAAGUUCAUCUUAACUUAUUGCAUCUGUAUCCUAGUAAACUGCAUGCUUUCCCAUGACGUGGUGACAUUUUUCUAUCAGACAUGUAGGCUACUUUACUCGCAUAAAAAGGUUGAAAGGAAACCUGGUUAAUGUCAAGCCAUUUUGAGGAUGUUGGAAUUCUUGAAUGAAUGUGCGUAUGCCUACAUGAAGCUUUUGAAGUAGCCUAAUCUGAUUCAAACAUCGUGACUGGAUGUGUUUAUGCCAUAUAUAUAAAAGGUAAUACAUCUAAACAGUUACAUGAUACAUAUUUUGGCUAUAUUGAAGCGUUAGGUUCUAGGUGUUUGAAGAAUAGCCGGAGAGGAAGCAGAACGUGUUAAACUUUCCUGGAUAACUGGGCAUGCCGGGAGCAUAUGUGGCCACAUUAUUAUAGGACGACUUGGGUGAAUGAUUAUCUCAACAAACAGCGCAUUCAGUAUCAAAAGUAAAAAUACAGCCAGACUGGCCUGCUACUGUUCCUUUCUAGACCUUACAAACUGCCAAGAGUAGACCCACAACUCAUCCAAAUCUAAUGAAACAUUCAUAUCACAGUGCUUUUGCACUGUUAUUCAAAUGACUCUUUCACUGCAGCAUAGAGUAGGCUAGAAUGUUGACUCAACGCCACAAGAGCAAAGAACAUAUUUCAAACCUUGCAUGCUAGGGGGAGGUAGUUGCAAUAACGUUGGAAUGGUUUAGUCGACUUCCUCAAUAGUUGGUCCAGAAGAUCCACCGCCUCCAGAAACGGCGCCACCUGGUGUUGUAGGCUAGCAUAGGUAGGAUAAUUGUAUUGUCCCUAAACAAGAUCAGUAAGAUUUGAGUUGUGUGCCUCAUGGCUUCACUGUUCUUUCAUGCGCAAUGAUGCACCUGGCCUCUCCGCUGCCUAUCAGCUAAUCCUAUUUGUUCUUGUCCAUUCAUAUAAAAAAGAUGACAUCCUGCGACUAGUGAGGUCUGGCCGCCUGACAAUCUGCCUGCUUGACCCCAUCCCCUCCUCCAGACCAUCUCUGGAGGCCUUCUCCCACUCCUCACUUCCCUCACUUCCCUCAUCAACUCAUCCCUGACCACUGGCUGUGUCCCCUCUGACUUCAAAAUGGCCCGAGUUGCUCCCCUCCUCAAGAAACCAACACUCGACCAACAUCUGACAUCCAAACAACAUCUGACGUCAAAAACUAUAGACCUAUCUAUCCGCUGCCUUCGACUCCGUGAACCAUCAAAUCCUCCUCUCCACCCUUUCAGGGAUGGGUAUCUCAGGCUCUGCAGACUCUUGGUUUGCAUCCUACCUGGCAGGCCGCUCCUACCAGAUGACGUUGAGAGGAUUUGUGUCUGCACCACGGACUCUCACUACUGGUGUCCCCCAGGGCUGUGAGAUGUGGUUGUCCCACCUAGCUAUCUUAAGAUGAUAGCACUAACUAUACAGUCUUGUCCCAACGCUGCAACUCCCCUAUGGACUCGGGAGAGGCGAAGGAUGAGAGCCAUGUGUCCUCCGAAACACAACCCUGUCAAGCCAUAUUGCUUGUUGACACACUCCUCGCUUAACCCGGAAGCCAGCCGUACCAAUGUGUCGGAGGAAACACCAUCCAGCUGGCGACCGAAGUCAGCCACAAGGACCCGGAACGCCACAAGGAGUCACUAGAGCACGAUAGGACAAGGAAAUUCCAUCUGGCCAAACCCUCCCCUAACCUGGACGAUGCUGGACCAAUUGUGCGUCGCCUCAUGGGUCUCUCGGUCGUGGCCGGCUAUGAUACAGCCUGGGAUUGAAGCCGGCUCUGUAGUGAUGCCUCAAGCACUGCAAAGCAGUGCCUUAGACCGCUGCACCACUUGGAAGGCAGUCUAAACUCUUUUGACCGAAACUGCUUUGUUUUAAAGAUGAACAUUGCAUUGCAUGGCCUCUGAAGACACAUUUGGAAGGGUACCAUACAGUAAGGGGAUCUGCUGUACCUGUAUAUUGUGGGUGAAAAAUUCAGUUAUAAAUGAUUUUGUCUUAGUUAAGAACAAAUUGUCAUCCAGUAGGCCUUGAUUACAUUUCCAUUACCCCGUCCACAUGGAAAUUCUGUAAGAAUUAUGUGGAGGCUAAUUAGAUGGUGGUCCGAUCGCAUUCUGUCUCCUACCAAUACUUUUUUAAACUUUUGGUGCCAGAGAGAAUAACACAAUCAAUUAUUCAAGAUGGCUAGCUUGAUUAAGUCUCCUCCAUGUAUAUCUCACUAGGUCUGUUUUUUUUGUUGCCUCCAUAUAUCCACUAGUACUAACGUGGGGCGGUAGGUAGCCUAGUGGUUAGAGCGUUGGGCCAGUAACCGAAAGGUUGCUGGAUUGAAUCCCCGAGCUGACAAGGUAAAAAUCUUGAACAAGGCAGUUAACCUGCUGUUCCCCGUUAAGCCGUCAUUGUAAAUAAG
This 4043-nucleotide long non-coding RNA is filed under the name Salmo salar (Atlantic salmon). RNAcentral's name for it is "lncRNA (ENSSSAG00000086062.1)". The record is from RNAcentral. Lineage: Eukaryota; Metazoa; Chordata; Actinopteri; Salmoniformes; Salmonidae.